UCUGCCAGAGCUUCUGAUUCUUGUUUUGACAGAUUAGAAGUCUCAUCAGCAAUGCAAUCAUCACAUUGUUUGAUCAAAUUAGCAAAUCUAGUAUCUCCAGGGGCCAAAGAAGCACCACUCUCAAGGGCUGACUUGGCAGUUUCAUACUCCUCAAGCUUUAUGCAAGCAGAGCCUUUCCGCAAAUAAGCUUUGGCCAUCGAAGGAUCCAACCCAAUCGCUUUGUUUGCAUCAGCAACGGCCUCAGUAAGAUUGCAGAGUUUGAUAUUGGCCUGAGCGCGAUCAGCGUAGAGCUCAGCGCUGUUAGGGUUUAGGGCGAUGGCCUGAUUUAAGAGUUCGGCGGCCAGCUCGAAGUGGUCGUCGACGAACGCUUCUUUGGCCUUCCUUUCGAGAUCAGACGCCAUUGGAGACGCAGAGAGGAAAGAACUCUCUGGAAACAA
RNAcentral lists this unclassified non-coding RNA (437 nucleotides) under Hevea brasiliensis (rubber tree). Lineage: Eukaryota; Viridiplantae; Streptophyta; Magnoliopsida; Malpighiales; Euphorbiaceae. The record is from RNAcentral.